RNAcentral lists this ribosomal RNA (519 nucleotides) under uncultured Lachnospiraceae bacterium. RNAcentral describes it as "bacterial SSU rRNA". It matches the Rfam family "Bacterial small subunit ribosomal RNA", at positions 193 to 734 of the family's 1533-position model. The record is from RNAcentral. Lineage: Bacteria; Bacillati; Bacillota; Clostridia; Lachnospirales; Lachnospiraceae.
UGCAGGGGUAAAAACUCCGGUGGUACAGGAUGGACCCGCGUCUGAUUAGCUGGUUGGUGAGGUAACGGCUCACCAAGGCGACGAUCAGUAGCCGGCUUGAGAGAGUGAACGGCCACAUUGGGACUGAGACACGGCCCAAACUCCUACGGGAGGCAGCAGUGGGGAAUAUUGCACAAUGGGGGAAACCCUGAUGCAGCGACGCCGCGUGAGUGAAGAAGUAUCUCGGUAUGUAAAGCUCUAUCAGCAGGGAAGAAAAUGACGGUACCUGACUAAGAAGCCCCGGCUAACUACGUGCCAGCAGCCGCGGUAAUACGUAGGGGGCAAGCGUUAUCCGGAAUUACUGGGUGUAAAGGGUGCGUAGGUGGUAUGGCAAGUCAGAAGUGAAAACCCAGGGCUUAACUCUGGGACUGCUUUUGAAACUGUCAGACUAGAGUGCAGGAGAGGUAAGCGGAAUUCCUAGUGUAGCGGUGAAUGCGUAGAUAUUAGGAGGACAUCAGUGGCGAAGGCGGCUUACUGGAC